UGCGCAGGCGGUGCGCCAAGACGGAUGUGAAAUCCCCGGGCUUAACCUGGGAACUGCAUUCGUGACUGGCGCGCUGGAGUAUGGCAGAGGGGGGUGGAAUUCCACGUGUAGCAGUGAAAUGCGUAGAGAUGUGGAGGAAUACCGAUGGCGAAGGCAGCCCCCUGGGUCAAUACUGACGCUCAUGCACGAAAGCGUGGGGAGCAAACAGGAUUAGAUACCCUGGUAGUCCACGCCCUAAACGAUGUCAACUGGUUGUUGGGGAUUCAUUUCCCUGGUAACGUAGCUAACGCGUGAAGUUGACCGCCUGGGGAGUACGGUCGCAAGAUUAAA
Molecule: ribosomal RNA, 330 nt
Filed under: uncultured bacterium
Lineage: Bacteria
Description: bacterial SSU rRNA
Rfam family: Bacterial small subunit ribosomal RNA
Source: RNAcentral